UGCCUGUACCAUAACCGACACAGGUGGGUAGGUAGAGUAUACUAAGGGGCGCGAGAUAACUCUCUCUAAGGAACUCGGCAAAAUGACUCCGUAACUUCGGGAGAAGGAGUGCCUUAUUUAUAAGGUUGCAAUAACAAGAUCCAAGCAACUGUUUAUCAAAAACACAGGUCUCCGCUAAGUCGUAAGACGAUGUAUGGGGGCUGACGCCUGCCCAGUGCCAGAAGGUUAAAGAAGUUGGUUAGUGUAUGCGAAGCUGAUGACUGAAGCCCUGGUGAACGGCGGCCGUAACAAUAACGGUCCUAAGGUAGCGAAAUUCCUUGUCGGGUAAGUUCCGACCCGCACGAAAGGCGUAAUGAUUUGGAUACUGUCUCGGAGAGAGGCUCGGUGAAAUAGACUUGUCUGUGAAGAUGCGGACUACCUGCACCAGGACAGAAAGACCCUAUGAAGCUUUACUGUAACUUGAAAUUGGAAUUGGACUUUGCUUGCGCAGUAUAGGUGGGAAGCGUUGAAAAUAUUCUUGCGGGAGUAUUGGAGCUAUCAGUGAGAUACCACUCUUGUAAUGUUAGGUUUCUAACUUUGAACCAUAAUCUGGUCAAAGAACAGUUUCAGGUGGGCAGUUUGACUGGGGCGGUCGCCUCCCAAAUGGUAACGGAGGCGUACAAAGGUUUCCUCUGAACGGAUAGAAAUCGUAUCUAGAGUGUAAAGGCAUAAGGAAGCUUGACUGUGAGACCUACAAGUCGAGCAGGGACGAAAGUCGGUCUUAGUGAUCUGACGGUACUGAGUGGAAAGGCCGUCACUCAACGGAUAAAAGUUACUCUAGGAUAACAGGCUGAUCUCCCCCUAGAGUUCACAUCGACGGGGAGGUUUGGCACCUCGAUGUCGGCUCAUCGCAUCCUGGGGCGGUAGUACGUCCCAAGGGUUGGGCUGUUCGCCCAUGAAAUCGGUACGCGAGCUGGGUUCAGAACGUCGUGAGACAGUUCGGUCCAUAUCCGGUGUAGGCGCUAGAAUAUUGAGAGGAGCCUUCUUUAGUACGAGAGGACCGAGAAGGACACACCGCUGGUGUACCAGUUAUCGUGCCAACGGUAAACGCUGGGUAGCUAUGUGUGGAGUGGAUAACCGCUGAAAGCAUCUAAGUGGGAAGCCCACCUCAAGAUGAGUACUCUCAUGGUGUUAAGCCAGUAAGGUCACGGGAAGACUACCCGUUGAUAGGCUCUAGAUGGAAGCGUGGUGACAU
This 1234-nucleotide ribosomal RNA is filed under the name metagenome. Its description in RNAcentral is "bacterial LSU rRNA". It matches the Rfam family "Bacterial large subunit ribosomal RNA", at positions 1639 to 2884 of the family's 2925-position model. The record is from RNAcentral.